CCUACGGGGGGCAGCAGUAGGGAAUAUUGCUCAAUGGGGGAAACCCUGAAGCAGCAACGCCGCGUGGAGGAUGAAGGUUUUCGGAUUGUAAACUCCUUUUGUUAGAGAAGAUAAUGACGGUAUCUAACGAAUAAGCACCGGCUAACUCCGUGCCAGCAGCCGCGGUAAUACGGAGGGUGCAAGCGUUACUCGGAAUCACUGGGCGUAAAGAGGGCGUAGGCGGGAUAGCAAGUCAGAUGUGAAAUCCUAUGGCUUAACCAUAGAACUGCAUUUGAAACUGUUAUUCUAGAGUAUGGGAGAGGUAGGUGGAAUUCGUGGUGUAGGGGUAAAAUCCGUAGAGAUCAAGAGGAAUACUCAUUGCGAAGGCGACCUGCUAGAACAUAACUGACGCUGAUGCGCGAAAGCGUGGGGAGCAAACAGGAUUAGAUACCCUUGUAGUC
This 440-nucleotide ribosomal RNA is filed under the name uncultured bacterium. RNAcentral's name for it is "partial 16S ribosomal RNA". It matches the Rfam family "Bacterial small subunit ribosomal RNA", at positions 338 to 795 of the family's 1533-position model. The record is from RNAcentral.